This 394-nucleotide ribosomal RNA is filed under the name uncultured bacterium. RNAcentral's name for it is "bacterial SSU rRNA". It matches the Rfam family "Bacterial small subunit ribosomal RNA", at positions 505 to 898 of the family's 1533-position model. The record is from RNAcentral.
GUGUCAGCCGCCGCGGUAAUACGAAGGGGGCUAGCGUUGUUCGGAAUUACUGGGCGUAAAGGGCGCGUAGGCGGCCUUGUUAGUCGAGUGUGAAAGCCCUGGGCUUAACCCGGGAAGCGCGCUUGAUACUGCAGGGCUUGAGUGUGGGAGAGGAUGAUGGAAUUCCCAGUGUAGAGGUGAAAUUCGUAGAUAUUGGGAAGAACACCGGUGGCGAAGGCGAUCAUCUGGACCACAACUGACGCUGAGGCGCGAAAGCGUGGGGAGCAAACAGGAUUAGAUACCCUGGUAGUCCACGCCGUAAACGAUGUGUGCUAGACGCUGGAAGACCUAGUCUUUCGGUGUCGCAGCUAACGCUUUAAGCACACCGCCUGGGGAGUACGGCCGCAAGGUUAAA